AAUGUAUCACUGAAUCAUGUUGAUUGCCCUUGAGUAGCUUGUCAAGGAAAAUUAUUGUAGUACUUGUCGAGUAUUCUGCAUAUGUAAAAGUAUAUAACAAAAAAGGCAAACCUUAUUAUUAUUCAUCAAAAAGGAUUUACAAGUAAAAUGUACUGAAAUUUAGGGAUAGAAGCGACGUAGUUUGUCUAUGUGCCAGGAGUUGGGCAAGCGUGUUCCAUUUGGGUACACAAGUCUAUAAGAUGUAGGGCGUGUAACUUCAGUGACCACAAAAGGUCCUUCCCAGGGUGUAGAUAACUUGUGCAUUCCCUCCUAGCUUGUUUUCCAUUUGAGUACCAGAUCACCGACCACGAAGGAGCGGUCUUUGACGUUCCUAUUGUGGUAUCGUCGAAUGGCCUCGAGAUACUUUGCUGUUCGAAGGCAAGAAGUUAGGCGUCUCUCUUCCAUGCAGUUGAUUUCGAGUUCUCUGGCGAGGUCUGCUGAAGACUGGUCGAAAUGUUCGACUCUUGGAGAUCCAAAGGCUACAUCCGAGGCGAGCACUGCCUCGGCCCCAUAAACCAUAAAAUAGGGAGAUACGCCUGUGUUCCGACUAGGCUGUGUUCGGAGACGCGAAAUUCCUUGUCGGGUAAGUUCCGACCCGCACGAAAGGCGUAACGAUCUGGGCACUGUCUCGGAGAGAGGCUCGGUGAAAUAAACAUGUUUGUGAAGAUGCGGACUACCUGCACCUGGACAGAAAGACCCUAUGAAGCUUUACUGUUCCCUGGGAUUGGCUUUGGGCUUUUCCUGCGCAGCUUAGGUGGAAGGCGAAGAAGGCCCCCUUCCGGGGGGCCCGAGCCAUCAGUGAGAUACCACUCUGGAAGAGCUCGGAUUCUAACCUUGUCAAACCCGCGAGCCACACCACGGCGGUAACUCUUUCAUCCACCGGCCUGGUGCCCUGUCAUUUUCCAUGUACAACCUUUUCUUUAGAGCAUCAAUAAUCAUUCCAUUUGCUCGCUCGACUUGACCAU
Molecule: non-coding RNA, 1004 nt
Filed under: Sorghum bicolor (sorghum)
Lineage: Eukaryota; Viridiplantae; Streptophyta; Magnoliopsida; Poales; Poaceae
Description: Bacterial large subunit ribosomal RNA
Rfam family: Bacterial large subunit ribosomal RNA
Source: Rfam by way of RNAcentral